RNAcentral lists this ribosomal RNA (493 nucleotides) under uncultured bacterium. RNAcentral describes it as "partial 16S ribosomal RNA". It matches the Rfam family "Bacterial small subunit ribosomal RNA", at positions 29 to 523 of the family's 1533-position model. The record is from RNAcentral.
AUUGAACGCUGGCGGCAUGCUUUACACAUGCAAGUCGAACGGUAACAGGUUAAGCUGACGAGUGGCGAACGGGUGAGUAAUGCAUCGGAACGUGCCCGGUCGUGGGGGAUAACGCAGCGAAAGCUGCGUUAAUACCGCAUACGAUCUGAGGAUGAAAGCGGGGGACCGUAAGGCCUCGCGCGAUCGGAGCGGCCGAUGUCAGAUUAGGUAGUUGGUGGGGUAAAGGCUCACCAAGCCAACGAUCUGUAGCUGGUCUGAGAGGACGACCAGCCACACUGGGACUGAGACACGGCCCAGACUCCUACGGGAGGAAGCAGUGGGGAAUUUUGGACAAUGGGCGAAAGCCUGAUCCAGCAAUGCCGCGUGCAGGAAGAAGGCCUUCGGGUUGUAAACUGCUUUUGUGCGGAGCGAAAAGGUCUCCUCUAAUACAGGGGGCUCAUGACGGUACCGUAAGAAUAAGCACCGGCUAACUACGUGCCAGCAGCCGCGGUAA